UAACCAUGCAAGUCGAACGCUCACCUUCGGGUGGGAGUGGCAGACGGGUGAGUAACACGUGGGAACGUACCCUUUGGUUCGGGACAACUCUGGGAAACUGGAGCUAAUACCGGAUACGCCCUUUUGGGGAAAGGUUUACUGCCGAAGGAUCGGCCCGCGUCUGAUUAGCUAGUUGGUGGGGUAACGGCCUACCAAGGCGACGAUCAGUAGCUGGUCUGAGAGGAUGAUCAGCCACACUGGGACUGAGACACGGCCCAGACUCCUACGGGAGGCAGCAGUGGGGAAUAUUGGACAAUGGGCGCAAGCCUGAUCCAGCCAUGCCGCGUGAGUGGUGAAGGCCUUAGGGUUGUAAAGCUCUUUUAUCCGGGACGAUAAUGACGGUACCGGAGGAAUAAGCCCCGGCUAACUUCGUGCCAGCAGCCGCGGUAAUACGAAGGGGGCUAGCGUUGCUCGGAAUCACUGGGCGUAAAGGGCGCGUAGGCGGCGUUUUAAGUCGGGGGUGAAAGCCUGUGGCUCAACCACAGAAUGGCCUUCGAUACUGGGACGCUUGAGUCUGGUAGAGGUUGGUGGAACUGCGAGUGUAGAGGUGAAAUUCGUAGAUAUUCGCAAGAACACCGGUGGCGAAGGCGGCCAACUGGACCGG
This 643-nucleotide ribosomal RNA is filed under the name uncultured bacterium. RNAcentral's name for it is "bacterial SSU rRNA". It matches the Rfam family "Bacterial small subunit ribosomal RNA", at positions 49 to 737 of the family's 1533-position model. The record is from RNAcentral.